RNAcentral lists this ribosomal RNA (253 nucleotides) under uncultured bacterium. RNAcentral describes it as "partial 16S ribosomal RNA". It matches the Rfam family "Bacterial small subunit ribosomal RNA", at positions 524 to 776 of the family's 1533-position model. The record is from RNAcentral.
CACGUAGGGGACGAGCGUUGUCCGGAUUCAUUGGGCGUAAAGCGCGCGUAGGCGGCUCGGAAAGUCGGUCGUGAAAUGCCGGGGCUCAACCCCGGGACUGCGUCCGAUACUUCCGGGCUGGAGGUAGGUAGGGGAGAUCGGAAUUCCUGGUGUAGCGGUGAAAUGCGCAGAUAUCAGGAGGAACACCGGUGGCGAAGGCGGAUCUCUGGACAGUUCCUGACACUGAGGCACGAAGGCCAGGGGAGCAAACGGG